RNAcentral lists this non-coding RNA (21 nucleotides) under Caenorhabditis elegans. Lineage: Eukaryota; Metazoa; Nematoda; Chromadorea; Rhabditida; Rhabditidae. The record is from RNAcentral.
UAAAUGAUAAGUUAGACCACA